UACGAAGGGAGCUAGCGUUGUUCGGAAUCACUGGGCGUAAAGCGCACGUAGGCGGUUUUUUAAGUCAGGGGUGAAAUCCUGGAGCUCAACUCCAGAACUGCCUUUGAUACUGGGAAGCUCGAGUCCGGGAGAGGUGAGUGGAACUCCGAGUGUAGAGGUGAAAUUCGUAGAUAUUCGGAAGAACACCAGUGGCGAAGGCGGCUCACUGGCCCGGUACUGACGCUGAGGUGCGAAAGCGUGGGGAGCAAACAGG
This 253-nucleotide ribosomal RNA is filed under the name uncultured bacterium. RNAcentral describes it as "partial 16S ribosomal RNA". It matches the Rfam family "Bacterial small subunit ribosomal RNA", at positions 524 to 776 of the family's 1533-position model. The record is from RNAcentral.